UAAAACGUUUCAAUUUCAAUUUAUAAUUUAACACCUUCGUCAAAAUGAGUUGAUAUAUUUUUUUCAAAUAAAAAAACUAAUGUACUGCAAUUACUAGGUCUCGCUGUAUAUAUCGUUAUAUCAUAUAUUCGAUUAGGCACGCCUCUGCAUACAAAAGAUCUCAUAUUUUUCUUUAUACCAACCACAUUAUUUAUUUUAUAUGUUAUACAAGGACCAAUAAAAAAGCUGAAAAUAAACUAUUUCAGCGAAGAAAAUAUCUAAGCGAACAUAACGUGUUUUCUGAAAGUUGCUAAAGAGAGCGAAGUGAGCGUUCCCUUGUCGUGUGCUGCUGCUUCUUUAUUGGUAGAUGUGCUACGACGAUUAUCAUUACCCUGAAAUUUCGUCGUCGCUCUCGCUGUCAACAAUGUUUUCGGUUCGUGACCUUAGAGCAGUGCCUUCUUCAAUAGAGGUCAAAUUCUCAAAGAUCCCGCUCCGUUUGGACACGGCAGCCUGAUUUACAAGUUGCGAUACUUCUAGGAAAAGAAAACGAAACUUAUCAACAUGGCUGAGAAAUCUUUGAAUAGCGAAAAAAACGGAUUGAAUCAUGUGCGAGUUCUUACUUUGAAUAACGGAGAGCAUCAAGAUGGAAUUCAAUACAGGGUAAAAAAAGGAUGGCACAUCGAAUUUCAACUUGGACCUUCUUUAUUUGGGAAGUUAGUACACGUUUAUACAAACCAUCCACCAACGAGCGAUCUACCGUUCGAGAGACACACGUAUUAUCAACUUCAGUGGAACAAGGAUUCGGCUUCAAUGCCAGUUAUGUUCGCAGGAUCGUUCCAUUAUUAUGCGACAGAUUCAAAAGAUGGGGAUGGCUUGAAGGCAAUCGCAUCGGGGUAUCUAUUGGUAGAACCAGAACUCCAACUACCUGGAUGUAAAGGAGUUCUCCCUCUUGAUUGUAUCCAAUGUCAAACUGUUAUUUCAAAAUGCCUCGGCCCUUUUUCUACUUGGGAGGAAAAACUCAUGGUCGGACGUAAUACAGGCUACAAUAUGAUCCACUUCACGCCAAUCCAGGUACUGGGAGACUCUCAUUCGGCUUACAGUAUCAGUGAUCAACUAAAAUUGAAUCCUGCUUUCAACAAUGAGAACGGAAAACCAACGAUGUUCGACGAUGUCCAAGAACUUAUCAACAAAAUGCGCAACGAAUGGAACGUUUUGAGUAUCUGCGACAUAGUCUUGAAUCAUACGGCAAAUGAGAGCCCAUUUUUACUUUCUCAUCCGGAAUGCACGUAUAAUUGUCUCAACAGUCCACAUUUACGACCCGCCUACUUAUUGGACAUUACCCUGUUCGAAUUAACAGUGCAAGUUGCUGAUAACGAGUGGGAAUUGAAGGGAAUUCCGUCAAUAGUCGAAACCGAGGAUCACUUGAAUGCAAUACGUCACGCUCUGCAUACUUACUUCUUACCUCUCGCCAAGAUUCACGAGCUAUAUACUGUUGAUGUUGAUAGAGUCAUUGAUGAUUUUUUGAAUAUCGCUCGUACAAGAAUACCCGAAGAUCCAGCAGCGAACUCACAGACACCGGAAAUGACUAUUUCCAUUAUUCAAAAUCCGGAAUAUCUUAGACUCAAGUCAACGGUAGACAUGCAGCUUGCACUACGAAUUUAUAACACCUACAGGGCGGACUGCUUCGAUGAAGAUACCCGUUUAAAACGCUGUGCUGAAGAUCUGCGAAAGAGCUUACAAGAUUUAAACACCGUGAUAACCAAUGAGAUCCAGAACAACUUGAACGCUGCAGUAGAAAACACAAUUGCUAGUAUUCGAUAUUUCAGGGUACAGCAAGAUGGUCCAAAAAUCAAAGAAAUAAGUGAACGGAAUCCUCUGAUACCGAGGUAUUUUACUGAUUAUGGAGCGCCAAGAUCGUUUAUGGAACGUGAAGCUGCUAUGUAUUCGGAAAAUGGUUGCUAUUUAAUGGCACACAACGGUUGGGUAAUGAACGGUGACCCCCUAAAAAAUUUUGCCGAUCCUGAUUCGAAUAUUUACAUCCGUCGUGAAUUAAUCUCUUGGGGUGACAGUGUUAAACUAAGAUUCGGUGAAAAGCCAGCAGACAGUCCUUUUAUUUGGCAACACAUGGCCAAUUACGUCGAACAAACUGCCAAGAUUUUCGAUGGCAUCCGGUUGGAUAACUGUCAUUCAACUCCGAUACCCGUUGCUGAGUACAUGCUCGACGUCGCACGACGAGUCCGUCCGGAUUUGUACGUCGUAGCUGAACUCUUCACUAAUUCGGAUCAGAAGGACAAUAUCUUUGUAAACCGCUUAGGCAUCACUUCUCUAAUUAGAGAGGCAAUGUCAGCUUGGGACAGCCACGAGGAGGGGCGUUUGAUUUAUCGCUACGGCGGUGAACCAGUCGGAGCCUUUUUUCAAUCACGUCAGCGUCCUCUUGUACCAUGCAUCGCCCAUGCUCUUUUCAUGGAUCAGACACAUGACAAUCCAAGUCCCAUAGAGAAACGCAGCAUAUUUGAUUUAAUACCAAGCGCUGCUCUGGUUUCAAUGGCCUGUUGCGCUAGUGGGAGCAAUCGCGGAUACGAUGAGCUGGUCCCUCAUCACAUUCACGUGGUCGAUGAAAAUAGACAAUACACAGCAUGGAGCGAGGAAAAAGAGCUCGACAAAAAGAACUCACGUUACGUGGGUUUCGAAUCAGGAAUCAUACGCGUCAAACGAGCACUGAACAAUCUUCAUUUUAGCUUGGGCCAAGAUGAAUUUUCACAGGUAUUCGUCGAUCAAAUGGACCCUGAUAUCGUGGCAGUGACGAGACACUCGCCCAUGACUCACGAGAGCAUAGUUCUGGUGGCGUUUACCGCGUUCAAACAUCCUAAUUCAACUGCCAAGGAUCUCAGGAGGCACGUGCGGCCGUUGCGAAUCGAAGGAGUUGUCGAGGAAAUUAUAUUGGAGGCUUCAUUUUCAUACAAAGCCAAUGAAUCGCCUUUCCACUAUCCCGAUAAACACGUCAAAGACGAGGAUUUUAUAAAUGGUUUAACGGAUUACGUGGUUGAUUUCAAAGAGCAUAUUCAAAUUUGCGAUUCGGCGGUAUUCAACAAAGUUGAUUCGGGAGAUUCAAAAAUAACGCAGUUAAACUUCGUUAACUUUCAACCCGGCUCAAUCGUAGUGAUUCGUGUCUCUCUACAUGCUGAUAUAAAACCCGCUCUGUCGAAAUUGAAUGCAACUAUUGAAAUGGUGACAUCGUUCGAAAGCUCGGAACUUCGAGCGAUUGUAUCCCGCAUGGAUUUGGCCGAUAUGAAUAAGGUUUUGUUCCGCUGUGAUCAGGAAGAACGCGACGAAACCGGCAAUCGUUUCGGGGUUUACAAUAUUCCUUCUUACGGGCCUGUAACUUAUGCCGGUUUUCAAGGAGUAAUUUCUCUACUCGCUGAGAUUCGUCCGAACAACGACCUCGGUCAUCCUUUGUGCGUUAAUCUCCGUGAGGGUAAUUGGCUCAUCGAUUAUUUUUGGCAACGCCUUAGAGAUGACGAAGCCACCAGCCAUCUUGGCAAAUGGUUAGAAGACGCCGCUGAACCUUUCAAAUUAAUCCCUCGUUAUCUUGUUCCUAGUUACUUCGAUGUCAUCAUCGUUAAUCUCUAUAUGAUUCUCUUGGAACAAUCCUACGCACUUAUGUCUAGUUUCGUUCAAGAAGGCUCUACUUUUGUGAAGCUGCUCUCGCUGGUUUCUGUACAAGUUGGAGGUAUCGUUCAAUCUUCUCCACUUCCUGACUUAUCACCGAAUUUAAAUCCUCCAAAACCAAAAACUAGAGUGACAAAUAACGUUGAAGAACAAAUGUGCCUUACGAUAUCGGCUGGACUCCCACAUUUUGCGACUGGAUAUAUGAGAAAUUGGGGGCGUGAUACGUUCAUCGCACUUCGAGGAAUGUUCCUUUUAACCGGUCGGUACGAAGAGGCCCGAUUCAUUAUUCUCGGAUAUGCUGCAACAUUGCGACAUGGCCUUAUACCAAAUUUAUUAGACAAAGGAACAAAUGCCCGGUUCAACUGUCGUGACGCGAUUUGGUGGUGGUUGUAUACGAUUCAAUGUUACACUCAACACGUACCGAAUGGUUUGAAAAUUUUCUCGGACAAAGUAUCCAGAUUAUUCCCUACUGAUGAUUCUCCUCCACUUCCGGCAGGACAAGCGGAUCAAGCUCUGUACGACGUAGUUCAAGAAGCACUAACGAUUCACUUCCAAGGACUUUGUUUCCGUGAGCGGAAUGCUGGACAGAAAAUUGAUGAGCAUAUGACCGAUCGGGGCUUCAAUAAUCAGAUCGGAGUGCAUCCAGACACCGGAUUUGUAUUCGGUGGUAAUGAUGCCAAUUGUGGUACUUGGAUGGACAAAAUGGGAUCUUCAGCUAAAGCGGGAAAUAAAGGAAAACCUGCAACACCGCGUGACGGUUCAGCGAUAGAAUUAGUUGGAUUGAGCAAAUGCGCUUUGGGAUUCCUUGCAGAGCUCUAUAAACAGAAUCUAUUUCCAUAUGGAAGUGUUCAGCGAAAAAAUCGUGAUGGUACUCUCGUAACAUGGAGCUAUAAACAGUGGUCUGAAAGAAUCAACGCCAACUUUGAAAGUUACUUCUUCGUAAACGAAGUACCUGUAGAGGGUGAGAUGGAUCCGGAAUUAAUUCAUCGCCGUGGAAUUUACAAAGAUACUCAUGGAGCGACUCACGCCUGGGCUAAUUAUCAACUUCGCCCCAAUUUUCCAAUCGCAAUGGUCGCAGCACCUGAACUAUUCGAUCCUCAUCAUGCAUGGACCGCGUUGGAACAGGCUGAGCGGAUUUUACUUGGUCCUUUAGGCAUGAAGACUCUCGAUCCUGCCGAUUGGGCAUAUAAUGGAUAUUACGACAAUUCGAACGAUACGAGUGAUACGAAAUUAGCCCACGGUUGGAAUUAUCAUCAAGGACCGGAAUGGGUUUGGCCGAUGGGAUUUUUCCUCCGUGCUAAGUUGCACUUUGCACCACUGGUCGGAGGGGUAGAAGAACUUGAACGGACGAUCGCAUGGACCGAAACAAUAAUAUCACGACAUUUGGUUGAAGCGUCAACGAAUCAUUGGCGAGGAUUGCCGGAAUUGACGAACAAAGACGGUGAAUAUUGUCGCGAUAGUUGUCGCACCCAAGCUUGGAGCGCUUCAACUAUCCUCGAAGUUCUAUACGACCUUGAGACGCUGAAAAAGGAAUUACGAAGGAAUCACGAAAAAAGCGAGAAUACGAACUGAUACAAUUUUGCGUGUGUUCACCAUAGCCACUUGUACUUAGAUUAUGAGAAACUGGUGGAAAAGAAAGAAAAGAUUAAGAAAAAUGAUGGGCAAAAAUGGACUAUAGAGGAUCAACGGUACCAGAUUCAAAAAGCACCAGGUAGUCAAAACAAAGAAAAGCGAAGGGAAACGCACGCAAAUGAAAAAAAUCAGUCACGUGAAAAGAAAAAUGAGAGCACUAUUAUACCAAACGUACCUGCGUCCAAUCUCACGUGUCCAAUAAUAUUACAAACAACAUCGAAAAUGGCAGCGGGCCAUCCGAUCAAUUUUAAAAUGAGUGGAAUUGGAAAAGCCUAUUCUCAAUGACAUUUUUGAUCUACGAAGCAAUUUGGGACCUCGUAUCGAGCUACUCGGGAGAAACAUUGAAGAAAUCGGCGAAAUAAAUACACAGGUUUACCAUCGUGCUGUUAACUACAUAUACUCGAGAAUAUCCGAGUUUGGAUAUCCGCCAAGUAUCUUCGUUUCGACCGUUAAAUCGAGUCGAACAUCCUUGAGUAUUAAAACCUCCAAUUGCAAUGAGAAUACAAUUUAUUGGUUGAAUUGCAAUAACAAUUUGAAAAAUCGCGUCGAUAGUAAAAGUGAACGUGGCGAGCGAUCGAUAACGUCCGUCAGCGAGACUCACAACAAUAGAUCCAGUCUUUUGCUACUCGAACCACUUCUCUUGAUGCCCGAACUCGUCAAUCCGAGGCAAAAUUCCGGAAAAAACCGCAUUGCUCAUUCCGAGCACGUCAAAAUAGUACGAAUGGUUAUUGCGUAUACACUUUCAUUUUUUCUUUUAGCCAUAAUCACGUUCUACAUAGUAUAUUUCACGUAGAAAGUGGCUGCCUUAAUAGAUUUAUUUUACACUGCUCUGUGUCAAUGGAAGUAUCCAUUACACGAUAGUGGUUUUUAAAAGUUCAUGUAAACGACAGUUUUAUGGAUUGUUUUCCUCGGAUAUUCUUCUUACCACAUAUUGAGAUUUCUCAUUUAUAGUUUCCCAUUUGCCGUAUGGUAUCAUUUGUGAAAUCAGAUACAUACGUUUUAAACUGAUGUAAAAAUGGUUUAUAUAUAUUAGGGGUGCUCAAAAAAAGUUUUCUCAAAAGUUUCUGGUAGGUAAAAGAAAACUUCUCCGGUAAACGCGACUCCAUAUUUUGAUUCUACUAGAUUCUCAACAGGUUUUCGUUUUUCCCUAUAAAUAACACGUGAUUUUUUUUUUCGUUUUCUUCAAAUAAAACUAUUAAAGAAUUUUUUUUACAAUUUUGAUUGACAGAUUUUUGUAGGAUAUUAAAUUCUCUACAAAAAAACUCAGAUAUGGUUUUCUCAUAAACUUAACAGGUAAAAAGUUAUCCGACUUGAAUACCAGUAACCAAUUUGAUUCUAAUAGUAUAUGAUUUUAGAACGCGUUUUUAUUUCACUGGAUCUUACUGUAUAUCAAGAGACCCGGUAGAGUCUCGAGACCAGUACUGUUGUCUGGUAUACAGUAUACAGUACCAUUGACAGUCCUGUUAUAGCAGAUAACAGGACUAUCAAUGGUACUGUAUUCUUGGAUCAGCAGGAUCCGAGGCUCGCCGAGACUGUACUUUCUUUGAAUAAACCGAUUCGCGGUGGUGGGGGUAAAAUCAGCAUGUCAUUUCCUAGAAUGAUCGAGCUCAGGAGAUGUUUCGUAAAGCGAAAAUUGGUCAAAACCAACAUGAUCAGUGGCGUAAUUGCUGAGAAAAAACUUUGUACGGGCUUAAGAUUAUGCAAAAGCUACUAACACAUGUAGAAAUUUGACGUGUCUGUAUAUAACACCAUCAAAAGCCUCAUAUCCCUGGGGCUAACUUCACGGCAGUAUCGCGGAUAGACGUCACAUGACAAUACCUCCACUUCGUCACUAUCCAUUAUAUAUACCGAGGUAGUUUGAUCAAUCGGUUAAGGGUUAAAUGUUGUUUUGAUAGUGUAUGACUAUAAAACGUAUUAUGCGAGUUUUGUAAAAACAGUGCGGGUGAGUUUACUUCCAUUUCAAUCGGUUCGCGAAUGUUUGUUGAUAUAUAAGAUAUCCGUAUUGGGAAAUUUAUCCUCGUAUAAACACUUUGAUUUUACGUUUAUUUGGGACAUUAUAUUUUUGCAAUCCUUAUUCUUAUUCCUUUGAAUUUUCAACGGGCGUUGCGAGAAAAAAAAAGUUCGUUUAUAAUAACCUCAAACGUUCUUUCCAACCAGAAAUUUUAUGUCGUAUAUAAUUAUAUUAAAGAAAAAACACGUGUAAUUGGUUGUAUGUAAAUGAAUUCAAAUAAAUUUUUUAAAAGUAUCAAGUAGAGGUGUCUAAUCCAA
RNAcentral lists this unclassified non-coding RNA (7548 nucleotides) under Venturia canescens. RNAcentral describes it as "glycogen debranching enzyme, transcript variant X2". The record is from RNAcentral. Lineage: Eukaryota; Metazoa; Arthropoda; Insecta; Hymenoptera; Ichneumonidae.